UACGGAGGGUGCAAGCGUUAUCCGGAAUCAUUGGGUUUAAAGGGUCCGCAGGCGGUCUUAUAAGUCAGUGGUGAAAGCCUACAGCUCAACUGUAGAACUGCCAUUGAUACUGUAGGACUUGAAUUCGGUCGAAGUGGGCGGAAUAUGACAUGUAGCGGUGAAAUGCUUAGAUAUGUCAUAGAACACCGAUAGCGAAGGCAGCUCACUAGGCCUGGAUUGACGCUCAGGGACGAAAGCGUGGGGAUCAAACAGG
This 253-nucleotide ribosomal RNA is filed under the name uncultured bacterium. RNAcentral's name for it is "partial 16S ribosomal RNA". It matches the Rfam family "Bacterial small subunit ribosomal RNA", at positions 524 to 776 of the family's 1533-position model. The record is from RNAcentral.